Molecule: non-coding RNA, 1060 nt
Organism: Cyanistes caeruleus (blue tit)
Lineage: Eukaryota; Metazoa; Chordata; Aves; Passeriformes; Paridae
Source: RefSeq, a predicted model, not a curated record
CUUUUCUUCCCUUGACAAGCUCCGGCUGCCUGAAACAAAAUAUCCGGAGUCAGGAUUCAUUGGAAGUCCCAACUCUCCAAGCAAACCUUGAUUCACCGGCCCGGUGUCGCGAUCCAGCGGCCGAGCGCUGCUCAGGAGCAGGAAGGGCUGGAGAAGGAGGUGGAGGCAGCUCAGGGGUUCCUGUCAGCCCCCACACACCCCAAACUCUGCUCAGAACCUUCGCUGCUGCUCCUUUGGGAUUCCAGGUUGGUUUGUCCCUCCCUGAGUGCCAGGAGCUGGCAGUGCCAUGUCUGUCCCUUGUCCCCUUCUGGACACCUCUGGGGACACUUCCUUGCCUGAGGGCUGGCCCCACAGCCUUUCCCUCGGAGGAAUAUUUGGAGGAUGAGGCAGGCUGUGUCCCUUCCCUUGCUUGGGGCUUCUGUCCCAUCCUCCAGCACGGCACAGCCUGGCUCCGUUCAUGCACGGCUCCAUCCUGGAUGGAUCCCACCCCUGCUGUCCCACCUCCAGCUCCCAGGGCAAGGAGGCUCAGCCUUGAGGAACCAUUCCCAAACCCUGGACCAUCCCUGGGAGCAUCCCUGGGAGUGCUGUGUGAGCUCAGCGAUUCAAUCUGCGAAUGCAACGUGCGUGAAAGGAACCUGGAGCCAUCCUGCAGGAGCACCCAGGAGUCUCCAUCACCUUCUGCUGGGAGCCACAAAAAUGCGGCGUGAAAACGCAGCUCUGGUGUGAGAGCUGAGAAUCUCACACGGAGGCAAGAGACGGCAGAUGGGACAAUCUGCGGGGCUGAGGAGCACGGAGGAGCAGUGAGACAACACUGGCUGCCACGGCAGGCAAGACCACUCAAACUCGCCGGGGUUCUGUGGGAAAAGAGGAGAUUUCAGGAAGGAUUUGGGAGGAAAUGCAGAGAUUUUCUUGGGUAGCUUCCAAACUGCAGCUGUGUGUGGUGAUCCAGGGCUGGGAUCCAGGGCUGGGGGAGAAGGGGAUCUCUGGAUGCUGAAUGCUGCACCUGGGAUGGGUGGGAAGAGGAGAGGGAAGGGAAAAAGGAGCUGUGGAGGAGCUCUGU